CCCGGAGACUCUGAAUGGAUAGCACGCCUUUCAUCCCGAGGCUCUUAAAGGCCUGAAUCCUCCCAGGUUUUCUAUUUUAGAACCUGCUGGGGCAACAAGAUCCUGGGAGGCAGGGGCAGAGCGAUGAGGACACUGAGGCAGGCAGAAGUGAAGUGACCUGCCCAGGGUCCUACAGCCAGUACGUGCCUUCGGCUGGAUUUGAACCCAGGAUCUCCAGACCCCAGUCCCUCUAAGGCUGUGACGCAUUUCCGGGCCUCGCUUCCCUUUACGGCUCUGCGGCUUCGCCCCGCCCUCCACCUCCCCCUCCUGGAG
Molecule: long non-coding RNA, 312 nt
Filed under: Vombatus ursinus (common wombat)
Lineage: Eukaryota; Metazoa; Chordata; Mammalia; Diprotodontia; Vombatidae
Description: lncRNA (ENSVURG00010004423.1)
Source: RNAcentral